CAUCCUUCUCCAACUCCGGCCGCUGCCACAGCCAGGCCGGCGUGGUGGUGCGCCUUCGCCUCCCAUCCAUCCACCAGCGCCACCAUCUUCUUCUCCUUCCCCGAAUCCACCAUCAUCCAUCCACACCGCCGUCACCAGCGCCACCAUCUCCAGCCACCAGCACCACAGCGCCUCCCCACACCUCACGCAACCCACCAGACAGAUGGCCGGAGGCGUCUGAUGCCCCGCGCGAUUCUCCUCCCCAAAUCUGAACUGCUGCUGCUCCUCCACCUUUCUUCUUCCCCCAAAUUCUGUUGCUGCUCUCUUUCUAACCUCCCCACGCCUCUGUUCUUCUUGCCCAAACCUUGCUGCUGCUCUUCUUCUACUGCGCCCCCUUGCUGAUCUCUCACGCUGCUGCUCAUUCCCUCAUCACGCUGCUGUUUUCUUCUUCUCCUGUCGCUGCUCUCUUCUUCCCUUGCCUCUAGUUGCUGCUCCUAAUCUUUUCUGAACCCCAGCCUGCUGCUCUUUCUUCUCCCUACCUCGCUGCUGCUCUGCCCUCUUCUCUGAACCUCUCCUCUUCCUCCCAACGCCCCCUGCUGCUUCUUCCUCAUUGCCUGCUGCUGCUCCUCCCCCUGCCUCGCUUCUUCCUCCUUGCCUGCUGCUCCUGCCUUAUCUCUCUCUCUCUCUCUCUAAAUUUCUGUAGUAUUGCGAGAUGUUUCAGACUUUGUAAGGUUCAGAUUCGUAGAGUACUUAAAACCUGUUGUUUGCUCAGUUUCGUACUUGUUUUCUAGAAUGUAUGUGUUCAGUUUCAGACUUGUGUUUGUAGUGUUACAUGGUGAUCUGUGAGCUAAACCGUGGCAUGUGUCACUCAGUUUGUAUGCUUGAUAAUUAGCUAUAUAUAUCCCCAGUCCAUUUCUUGCUUAAGAACCUUGUUACAUUGUGUAGUAUUUGUGUUAGCAGUACAUGUGAUAUAUAUAUAUAUAUAUAUAUAUAUAUAUAUAUAUAUAUAUAUAUAUAUAUAUGACGGUCUAUUCUGCUAAUAUUAGCACAAUAACUAUUCUGCACACCACUUCUGCACUGCACGCUCAACGCAAGUGCACGUCAUUCUUUGAACCAAGUGUGCUGCACUACUCACACGAGUGAACUUCUCGUCGGAAAAAACUGCGCGCGUUAUUCUUUCGGUACUGUUUUCGCUCUAUUUUUUUAACCAUUUACCGGAAUGAGGCGUGUAAUAUACCAUUGAAAAGCUAUGGAUUAGGCUCAACUUCGACAUGUUGAACACUUUUCGAGAUUCCACACGGUUUAAGAGCAGUUUUGAAAUUGGCGCGUCCCAUGACGAGUGGCAGCGAGCGUUUUUUGCUGAUUUCUUCUAAACCACUCGUCGGAAUGAAGCAAACGAUACGCCGUUGGAUAGAUAUCGUCGAGGCGCAUCUUUUUCAUAUAUAAAUGCUUCUCUAAUUCCUUACGGUUUAAGAGCAGUUUCAAAUUUACUAAAUCGCGGAAAUCUGUUUUUGAAAUGUUCGGUACUGUUUUUGCUCCAGUUUUCUAACCGUUUGUCUAAACGAGACGUAUGAUACGCUGUUGGAAAGCUACGGACAAGGAGCAACUUUCAUAUGUUGAAAUGGUUUUGAGAUUCCUUACAGUUUUAAGUUAAUUUUGAAAAUCCUGCGGCUGACUUCGAGAGGCAGCGGCUGUUUUUUCGUGAAAUUUUUACGAAUGGCUGGUCGGAAUAAUUCAAAUCAUACGCCGUUGGAAAGAUAUCGAUGAUACGCAACUCUUUCAUGUAGAACACUCUCUAUAAUUCUUUACGGUUUAAGAGGAAUUUCGAAUUUACCGAAAUGCGGACACUCUAUUUUUCGCGACACCCAAAUCGACGUGGGUACUUCAUCCGACCGAAAACCGCACUGCAACGGACAAAAAACCGCACUGUAUCACAUGGGUAAGAGAACUGCAUGGUUUCUUUUAUUCAAACAUGAUUUUUUUCAAGAACAAGAAAGUAGAGUGCACUUCACAUCGGGUGUAAAUGAACCACAACAGUACCAAAAAGUGAACCGCAUUACUUUUUUUCGCUUUCCUAACAAUUUUUUUGCACUUACGGGAUGAACAACAUCAUACGACCGACCGCGCUGCUUCUGAAUGAAAACCGCAGUGCAUCGGAUGGGCAAGCGAAGUACAUGGUUUCUUCUGUAUUUUUUUAACUUUUUCUAUGGACAAGUAGACCGCAGAGACGAGGGCACGUGAACCGCAACAAUAUCGAAAGUGAACCGCAUUACUUCUUUUGCCGGUUUUUCUAACAUAUUUUUUUGAAUAUGUAACACUGAGACAAGGCAAGCGGACUGCAUCAAUAUUUUCAGUAUUUUUUUCUGCACAAGGAAUCAAAGUGCACUGCAUAAUAUAUAUAUUUUUUCUUUUUACAACAACAAAGUGUACUGCAUCAAUGUUUUUCUACAGAGUGAGCCACAAACGUUUGUUACAUUGAACUGCACUAUUUUCCUUUAAUAAUAUACGGGGAGCUGAUCAUAUACAGAAUGCCACUGUCCACAAAACAAGUGUGCUGCAUAAGCAAAGUGUUCUUUUUCACUGGACAAAACAAAACAGAGUGAACCCCAUUGUUUUGCAAUCUGGGAAUCAAGAGCAACACUUGCAGGCAAUAUGCUCAUAUACACUGCAGUAAGAUGGGCUUCUAUAGGUUCAGUGGACAAGUAUGGGGGAUGGGGAGCUGCAUGCCCGUGUCCUCUCCACUGCUUGCCCCGGAGCCAAAGAACUACAUGAAGAGGCGUUUUAUACUGCAUCAACAACAACCAUAAUCCCCCGUCUAUCAAUUAUGCCAUGCCCUGUAAAGCAAAUCGCACUGCUGUCAGUUGAGAACCCACAAAUUGCAUCACUGGAGUACACACCCAUGAGCUGAACCGCGGGGGAUGCACGCCAUGCACUGCAGUGGUGAACCUGAGCUGAUCCUCCACGCUAAACAUGAACAACAACCAAAAAAUAUUUCAGAGAAUAUGGGAACAAGAAGAAUAGGGAGUAGCAGUGCUACAAAUCAAAAGAACUAAAUCCAUCCGCCCACAUUCAUCGCCCUGGAACGCCAAGCAACAGGGGGCGGAGGUUGAAAGUCGCUGCCGCCGGCCGUUGGGGAGCUCCGACUUGUGAGCAACCGCCCAAGAGCCGCGGACUGCACACACGUGUGCGCCGCACUACACAUAUGCGGCCGCAAACCGCAUGGACGGGCGGUGGCCAGGGCGAGCGGCGCCAGGUGGUGGCCGGGGUGGAGGGAGGGCCGCGACGGAUGGUGGCCGGGGCGGAGGGCGGGCCGCGCCGGGUGGUGGCUCACCUCUGGUGUUGCUCUGGCCGUUCAGCACGGCGGCGUGGAGAGCAGUGCCCCGGCCAGGAAGGAAGAAGGAGAGGGGCGUGGCCGGAUCAGGUGCUGGUCGGCAGGGAGAGGGGUGCGGUGGCCGCAUCAGGUGUCGGUCAGCAGGGAUAGGGGCACGGCGGCCGGAUCCGGAUAUGGUCAGAUCCGCGAGGCCGCGGGACGGUGCCUGAUUGGCAGGGUGGACGGCGGCUCGGCGGCGGUAGGUGGCAGGGGGGAGCAGGCGGGGCCGGCUGGUGGGAGGACGAGGCGGGGUGGGGCCGGCUGGUGGGAGAAGGAGGCGGGGCGGCGCCGGCCAGUGGGAGAAGGAGGCAGGUGGUGGUCGGGUGGGGUAUCGGGGAGGGAAGUUUGUGGAGGAGUGGGGUUCGAGAGGGGAGUGGUGGGCAGCCGGUGGAUUUUUCUAUUCGUUAGGUUAGCGCGUGUUGGGGUGGCUACUGGGUAGGGGUGUUAGCAGAAUAAGAAAAUGGUGUGCAGAAUAAGACUCUUAAGGGUGUUAUCAUAAUAGACCCACCCUAUAUAUAUAUACACACACACACACAUUUGUGCGUGUCUUUGAUGUGAUGCACUUUAUGUUUUGUCCUACAUACUUGUUUCUUCCCUCUGUUAAAUGUAAAAUACUUAUAUAUAUAUAUGUCCAUGUCUUUUCAAUUCCCUAGCCGUUGAUGUAUGCUUGUGUUAGCAUUUUAUUUUUCAACUAAAAUAAAAACACAAAAAAAUAUACAUUGAGUAAAAUCUGAAUCUACCUUUGCUUAUCUGCAUUUUCUUUGGCGACAACCCUGUUUAGUUUAAUUUAACUUUUUUUGCAUUCAUCAUCUAAAUUCUGUUAGUAUAGUUGCCGUCGCCUAGUCCCUGAGGAGAACACGACACUCGUAGUUUGGGCGUAAAAACCCCGCUACACUUACAACUGAUCAUUUUGGCGCUGUUGCCGGGGACUAGCGUCGAGCGAUUGUGCUAGGCUAUAGACUAGGUUUUUCUUGUUUUCAUCUUGUGCCAUAUAUUUGUGAUAUAUCUCUACCCACUAAUCCCUGUUCUAGUUAGUAUCUUUUUGUCUUCUUUUCCUUUUUGCAGGUUGGAUUAUCCUCUCGGAAAUGGUAUUCUAUUCAGAUCAUCAUGCUUAUGCAAGCAACACUACAAACAGCACGGAAAGUAUUCAAGAACUGAUAGGUAAGAUUUCCCAUCGAUUAGAUGAUUUAGCUCGGCAGCGAGAAGUAGUUUUAGAGGAUAGGCCUAGUUCUUACUAUCCUUAUUCUAAAGGUCAUCCUUAUGUUGCUCCUACUUGCCAUAUUUGUGGAUUUCAGGGCCAUUUGCCCGCUGAAUGUCAGCGUGGCUACUCUCACACUCCGGAUUGUUUUGGCAUGAGCUUCGCUCAAGAGCAUAGCUCAUACCAAAACAAUUACUCACAUGGGUGGCCUGGAAUCCCGAAUAUGUCAUAUAGGAGCAACAACCCUGAGAUCUCACAGUUUGGUUCUAGUAAUCAUAUGCAGGGAUUUAGGUACAAUGAGGAGAGCCACAACUAUGCACCACAACAAUUCCAUUCAGCUCCUACUCAUAUACCACAGCACCAGGAGAUGUGUCCAAUGGAGUUAAAUGGUCCUCCAUUUGGUCAACCAACAACUCCAGCACCUGUUGUGCAAUCUCAUGUGCAAGUGCCCACACAAGAUGAGUUUGAUGACAUAGACAAGCUCACACUUUUGAGUCUCGAGUUCACUUGGAGUGCCGAGGAUGAUCCUAUUAGGAAGGUUAUACUAGAGGAAAUGAAGAAGAUUAAGAGUGGAAAGGAGCUAGUGGAAGAAGUAAGGAAGAUUGAGAAGAACAUCAACGCUGGCAGCACUAUUUCUUCACAACUUGAGUUGAGUGUGGCUGAGAUAUCCAUGGAUACAUGUGAGGUUCCAACACCUUCACAUUUCAUUGAGCAAGAUAGCAAGUGCCUUGAGCAAGAGAUACCUCAGAUUGAAGAAGAUGAACUAGAAGACAAGGAACAAGAUGGUCAAGAGCUGCAAUUCCCAAGUGAUCAAGUUGAAGACUCACCAUCUAGUACUCCUGAAGAAGUACAAGAAGCUGUUGUAGAUGAAGAUGAAGAACCUGAGAUUCAUUGGCCUAUUAUCAUACAUGAGCAUGAUGUGUCAGGUUUACCCAAUCCUCUUGAUGACAUGAGUCCUUAUGAUUUAUUUGCUUCUACCUUGCAUUACAUGAUGCCAUCACUUAAGAUUGAUUUGAAAAAUCAUUUACUUGGAUAUGAUGAUACAUACACUGUUGGUGGCAUUGCUCUCAUUUGUGAUGAUCACAACUACUUUCCUCAUGCUAGUCUUGAGCUUAAUGAUAAAUGUCAUCCUCGUGUGAGUAUUGACCAUGCUGAUUUCUGCCAUCCUAAACAUGUGCUUUAUAGUUAUGCUUAUAUAAUUGGAUAUUCCAUUGAUGACUUGGAGGGCAUCGACCGUAUCACCUGUAGUUGUUUGUGUGAGUCCUAUUUCAGGCUUUUGCUACUGCACUGUUUACUACAUGCUGACCAGGUUCGAGGUGACAUUCCUUGGGAUCCUGGUGGAGUCAGAGCAUGGCGAUGAGGAGAAGCAAUGGGGCACACAUAUGGAAGAGUGAAGCUGGAGCAUCCAUGAGGAAGCAAGGGAGAAGAGCUGCAGCUGGUGAGGUGAUCGAGCGAGUGCUACAUGAUCAAAGCCCGGUGAGAUGUUUCAUGACCCAUUCUGAAUAUCAUAAAUACAUGCUGAAUUCAAUUGCUAGUUGGGUUGCUUGAGCUAGUUAUUACUUGUUGUCAAGCUGAAAUUCACCUUUGGCAUUGUGCUUGAUGUGAAUUUGUGAACUUGAUUUCUGAAUGCCUUGUAAACUAGUGAUCUACACCAUGCAUGAUUUGCUGAAAUUUGUGGAAGUUAUUAGUUUUGAGUGCUCAAAUCCCUAGUACACUAGAAAACUUGAUCAUUUUCUGCUUUUACCUUGAUACACCUAGAUCACCAUGUUUAGAUGCCGAAUUUGUGCUAAGUGUGUUCCCAUUGAGAGCAAUCACCUUGCCACUAUGGAUUAGCAUGCUAUGUUCCCUGGAUCGGUAGCAUGUGAACCAGACAUGGAGAAGUGACGAUUCAUGUUUUUGUGCUUAUGCGUUGUUCAUUUAAGAUAGGUAAUAAUGAAUAUAUAAGUCUGGCUACCUACAGUAGCAUGUCAUGUUCCCGGGAUCGGUGGCAUGUGAAAUCGGGUUAGCUUGGGCAGUAAUUAAUAAUAAUAAUAAUGUAUUGUCGAACCAGGUGUAUAUCAUGUUCUCGGGAUUGGUGGUAUGUUCCUUGGGGAGACAAACAAAAAAAUUAAUAAAAAUUGGUUGAGCCAGGUGUAUACCAUGUUCUCGGGAUCAGUGGUAUGUUCCUUCAGUGAGACUAAUAAAAUAAUAUGUGUGUUUCUUUCAAAUUCAAUAAGUGGUUCAACCACAAAGUCAUAUUUCUGCAAAUAAGAGAUUUAAUUCCAGUUCUUUUUGUUCUCGGGAUCAUGCUCUCUUUAGGAACCAUUUGGCGCAGUCAUCAUUUAAACUUGUUGAUCCUCUUUUAUCAUUGUAAAAGUUUAAAAUGGUCAUGCUUACUAGUAUCCUACCACUUUGAAGAACUCCUAACCAUUAAUUUUCACUAGCUAAGUCCAAAGCAUGCACUGUUUAGAGAUCUACUUCACUUGGUAUUCUCUAGUCAGCUCACUGUUCACAUUCUUGUUCUUGUCAUAUGCCUUUGCUUGAGGACAAGCAAAAGUUUAAGUGUGGGGGAACUUGAUAAGCACAUUUCAUAUAUACAAUUUUGGCAUAGAAAUAUAUUAUUUAUUGAGAUAUGACCAUCAAUUCUUGCUGUGAAAUAUUGAAUAUUUGCAUGAAAAUCAUAUAAAGUAUCAUUUACUAGUCUUUGGUCUAUUUUGCAGAAAUGUGCGCAAAGGCACUAUAAAUCUUCAAGAUCCGGACUAAGUGGCUAAGAGAACGAAGAAGAGGAGGAAGAAUGGACCCGACCGUGAAGAAAAGAAGUAACCAGAGGGGCCAAGCUAAAGUUGGAGGGAUCAUCUUGUGAAGAAAGAAUAGAAGUGGAAGGGCAAAAGAGCAAAAGUGGCAUAUCAGAGGAGGGGGAUCAAAUCCCUAGCGCAGCCUCGAUCCCCUUUGGGCCUAGCAUAUCUCUCUCUCCCUCACCCAUUCUUCUCCAACCCCGGCCGCCGCCACGGCCAGGCCGGCGUGGUGGUGCGCCUUCGCCUCCCAUCCAUCCACCAGCGCCACCAUCUUCUUCUCCUUCCCCGAAUCCACCAUCAUCCAUCCACACCGCCGUCACCAGCGCCACCAUCUCCAGCCACCAGCACCACAGCGCCUCCCCACACCUCACGCAACCCACCAGACAGAUGGCCGGAGGCGUCUGAUGCCCCGCGCGAUUCUCCUCCCCAAAUCUGAACUGCUGCUGCUCCUCCACCUUUCUUCUUCCCCCAAAUUCUGCUGCUGCUCUCUUUCUAACCUCCCCACGCCUCUGUUCUUCUUGCCCAAACCUUGCUGCUGCUCUUCUUCUACUGCGCCCCCUUGCUGAUCUCUCACGCUGCUGCUCAUUCCCUCAUCACGCUGCUGUUUUCUUCUUCUCCUGUCGCUGCUCUCUUCUUCCCUUGCCUCUAGUUGCUGCUCCUAAUCUUUUCUGAACCCCAGCCUGCUGCUCUUUCUUCUCCCUACCUCGCUGCUGCUCUGCCCUCUUCUCUGAACCUCUCCUCUUCCUCCCAACGCCCCCUGCUGCUUCUUCCUCCUUGCCUGCUGCUGCUCCUCCCCCUGCCUCGCUUCUUCCUCCUUGCCUGCUGCUGCUGCCUUAUCUCUCUCUCUCUCUCUCUCUCUCUCUCUCUCUAAAUUUCUGUAGUAUUGCGAGAUGUUUAAGACUUUGUAAGGUUCAGAUUCGUAGAGUACUUAAAACCUGUUGUUUGCUCAGUUUCGUACUUGUUUUCUAGAGUGUAUGUGUUCAGUUUCAGACUUGUGUUUGUAGUGUUACAUGGUGAUCUGUGAGCUGAACCGUGGCAUGUGUCACUCAGUUUGUAUGCUUGAUAAUUAGCUAUAUAUAUCCCCUGUCCAUUUCUUGCUUAAGAACCUUGUUACAUUGUGUAGUAUUUGUGUUAGCAGUACGUGUGAUAUAUAUAUAUACACACACACACGUUUGUGCGUGUCUUUGAUGUGAUGCACUUUAUGUUUUGUCCUACAUACUUGUUUCUUCCCUCUGUUAAAUGUAAAAUAGUUAUAUAUAUGUCCAUGUCUUUUCAAUUCCCUAGCCGUUGAUGUAUGCUUGUGUUAGCAUUUUAUUUUUCAAAUAAAAUAAAAACACAAAAAAAU
Molecule: long non-coding RNA, 8666 nt
Filed under: Triticum aestivum (bread wheat)
Lineage: Eukaryota; Viridiplantae; Streptophyta; Magnoliopsida; Poales; Poaceae
Description: long non-coding RNA (TAES_LNC022540)
Source: RNAcentral